GAGAGUUGAAUUGAAAGAGAGUUGAAUUGAAAGACAGUUGAAUUGAAAGAGAGUGGAAUUGAAAGAGAAUUGAAUUGAAAGAGACCGAUGCAGUUUCCAAACCUUUUAUUGCUUCUCCUUUCAUCUUGCUUCAUUCACCAGGCUAUACAUCACCAGGCUGUACUUCAUUCACCAGGCUAUACAUCACCAGGCUGUACUUCAUUCACCAGGUUGUACUUCACCAGGCUGUACUUCAUUCACCAGGUUGUACUUCACCAGGCUGUACUUCAUUCACCAGGCUGUACUUCACCAGGCUGUACUUCAUUCACC
Molecule: long non-coding RNA, 309 nt
Organism: Oncorhynchus tshawytscha (Chinook salmon)
Lineage: Eukaryota; Metazoa; Chordata; Actinopteri; Salmoniformes; Salmonidae
Source: Ensembl